GAUGAACGCUGGCGGCGUGCCUAAUACAUGCAAGUCGAGCGAACGGACGAGAAGCUUGCUUUUCUGAUGUUAGCGGCGGACGGGUGAGUAACACGUGGAUAACCUACCUAUAAGACUGGGAUAACUUCGGGAAACCGGAGCUAAUACCAGAUAAUAUUUUGAACCGCAUGGUUCAAAAGUGAAAGACGGUCUUGCUGUCACUUAUAGAUGGAUCCGCGCUGCAUUAGCUAGUUGGUAAGGUAACGGCUCACCAAGGCAACGAUGCAUAGCCGACCUGAGAGGGUGAUCGGCCACACUGGAACUGAGACACGGUCCAGACUCCUACGGGAGGCAGCAGUAGGGAAUCUUCCGCAAUGGGCGAAAGCCUGACGGAGCAACGCCGCGUGAGUGAUGAAGGUCUUCGGAUCGUAAAACUCUGUUAUUAGGGAAGAACAUAUGUGUAAGUAACUGUGCACAUCUUGACGGUACCUAAUCAGAAAGCCACGGCUAACUACGUG
This 497-nucleotide ribosomal RNA is filed under the name uncultured bacterium. RNAcentral describes it as "partial 16S ribosomal RNA". It matches the Rfam family "Bacterial small subunit ribosomal RNA", at positions 28 to 507 of the family's 1533-position model. The record is from RNAcentral.